GAUUACCUCAGUAACGGCGAGUGAAGCGGUAACAGCUCAAAUUUGAAAUCUGGGCCUUUCAGGCUCCGAGUUGUAAUUUGUAGAAGAUGCUUUGGGUGCGGCCCCGGUCUAAGUUCCUUGGAACAGGACGUCAUAGAGGGUGAGAAUCCCGUAUGUGAUCGGUGGCUUGCGCCCGUGUAAAGCUCUUUCGACGAGUCGGGUUGUUUGGGAAUGCAGCUCUAAAUGGGUGGUAAAUUUCAUCUAAAGCUAAAUAUUGGCCAGAGACCGAUAGCGCACAAGUAGAGUGAUCGAAAGAUGAAAAGCACUUUGGAAAGAGAGUUAAACAGUACGUGAAAUUGUUGAAAGGGAAGCGCUUGCAACCAGACUUGCGCGGGGUUGAUCAUCCGGGGUUCUCCCCGGUGCACUCGGCCCCGCUCAGGCCAGCAUCGGUUUUGGUGGUUGGAUAAAGGCCUUGGGAAUGUGACUUCUUUCGGGGAGUGUUAUAGCCCUCGGUGCAAUGCAGCCUACCGGGACCGAGGACCGCGCUUCGGCUAGGAUGCUGGCGUAAUGGUUGUAAGCGACCCGUCUUGAAACACGGACCAAGGAGUCUAACAUCUAUGCGAGUGUUUGGGUGUCAAACCCAUGCGCGUAAUGAAAGUGAACGGAGGUGAGAACCCUUAAGGGCGCAUCAUCGACCGAUCCUGAUGUCUUCGGAUGGAUUUGAGUAAGAGCAUAGCUGUUGGGACCCGAAAGAUGGUGAACUAUGCCUGAAUAGGGUGAAGCCAGAGGAAACUCUGGUGGAGGCUCGCAGCGGUUCUGACGUGCAAAUCGAUCGUCAAAUUUGGGCAUAGGGGCGAAAGACUAAUCGAACCAUCUAGUAGCUGGUU
Molecule: ribosomal RNA, 866 nt
Filed under: Pezicula neocinnamomea
Lineage: Eukaryota; Fungi; Ascomycota; Leotiomycetes; Helotiales; Dermateaceae
Description: eukaryotic LSU rRNA
Rfam family: Eukaryotic large subunit ribosomal RNA
Source: RNAcentral